Molecule: ribosomal RNA, 482 nt
Filed under: uncultured bacterium
Lineage: Bacteria
Description: partial 16S ribosomal RNA
Rfam family: Bacterial small subunit ribosomal RNA
Source: RNAcentral
AUUGAACGCUGGCGGCAUGCUUUACACAUGCAAGUCGAACGGUAACAGCACUUCGGUGGCUGACGAGUGGCGAACGGGUGAGUAAUACAUCGGAACGUGCCUAGUAGUGGGGGAUAACUACUCGAAAGAGUAGCUAAUACCGCAUGAGAUCUAAGGAUGAAAGCAGGGGACCUUCGGGCCUUGCGCUACUAGAGCGGCUGAUGGCAGAUUAGGUAGUUGGUGGGGUAAAAGCUUACCAAGCCGACGAUCUGUAGCUGGUCUGAGAGGACGACCAGCCACACUGGGACUGAGACACGGCCCAGACUCCUACGGGAGGCAGCAGUGGGGAAUUUUGGACAAUGGGCGCAAGCCUGAUCCAGCAAUGCCGCGUGCAGGAUGAAGGCCUUCGGGUUGUAAACUGCUUUUGUACGGAACGAAAAGCCCUCUUCUAAUACAGGAGGGUCAUGACGGUACCGGAAGAAUAAGCACCGGCUAACUACGUG